UACGGUGGACUGCUAGCGGCGGUGCUCUUCUGGCAGCAGGACUGGAGGCAGUCGGGGAUGGCGGUGUCCUUGAGAUCGACUGAGAUAGGCAGAGUAAGCCUUAGCGUUUGAUUAUAGGGGGUUUUCCGGCGGCUUGGGGGGGGCUUAAGCCCCCACCAGCCCCCCCUUAAAUCCGUGGCUGAUUGCACAACCACAAGGGAAAAGCAGGGAGCUACAGCAUGCCAUCUUAGCAAAAACAAAACCCAACUUCUAGCAUAAUUACCAAAAACUUCAACUACCCAACUCUGGUAAACAAAAUUUCUGGGAUAAGAACAACGCAAAACGCAAGCAAAAAUCAUCUUCAAAGCAGGACUUUCGGUUAGGCAUUUCGUCGAACAGCAAAUAGGCACCAAAAUUUCACCGACUUUUUUUGCUCAAUUAAGGUCAUUUUCAGCCCCAAAAGUUUGCCAGAAACACAGCAAACAGUCCAAUUAACACAUAUAGCAUGCGUAUUAAAAAAUCAUGAACAAACAACCGAAAAUUGCAACCAAACACAGUCACGG
This 542-nucleotide long non-coding RNA is filed under the name Coffea arabica (coffee). Its description in RNAcentral is "long non-coding RNA (CARA_LNC008109)". Lineage: Eukaryota; Viridiplantae; Streptophyta; Magnoliopsida; Gentianales; Rubiaceae. The record is from RNAcentral.